Molecule: ribosomal RNA, 119 nt
Filed under: Pteropus alecto (black flying fox)
Lineage: Eukaryota; Metazoa; Chordata; Mammalia; Chiroptera; Pteropodidae
Source: RNAcentral
GCAUACGGCCAUGCCACCCUGAACAUGCCCGAUCUCGUCUGAUCUUGGAAGCUAAGCAGGGUCGGGCCUGGUUAGUACUUGGAUGGGAGACUACCUAGGAAGACCGAGUGUUGUAGGCA